Molecule: ribosomal RNA, 922 nt
Filed under: Bacillus glycinifermentans
Lineage: Bacteria; Bacillati; Bacillota; Bacilli; Caryophanales; Bacillaceae
Description: bacterial SSU rRNA
Rfam family: Bacterial small subunit ribosomal RNA
Source: RNAcentral
CUAUACAUGCAGUCGAGCGGACAGAUGGGAGCUUGCUCCCUGAUGUUAGCGGCGGACGGGUGAGUAACACGUGGGUAACCUGCCUGUAAGACUGGGAUAACUCCGGGAAACCGGGGCUAAUACCGGAUGCUUGAUUGAACCGCAUGGUUCAAUUAUAAAAGGUGGCUUUUAGCUACCACUUACAGAUGGACCCGCGGCGCAUUAGCUAGUUGGUGAGGUAACGGCUCACCAAGGCAACGAUGCGUAGCCGACCUGAGAGGGUGAUCGGCCACACUGGGACUGAGACACGGCCCAGACUCCUACGGGAGGCAGCAGUAGGGAAUCUUCCGCAAUGGACGAAAGUCUGACGGAGCAACGCCGCGUGAGUGAUGAAGGUUUUCGGAUCGUAAAACUCUGUUGUUAGGGAAGAACAAGUACCGUUCGAAUAGGGCGGUACCUUGACGGUACCUAACCAGAAAGCCACGGCUAACUACGUGCCAGCAGCCGCGGUAAUACGUAGGUGGCAAGCGUUGUCCGGAAUUAUUGGGCGUAAAGCGCGCGCAGGCGGUUUCUUAAGUCUGAUGUGAAAGCCCCCGGCUCAACCGGGGAGGGUCAUUGGAAACUGGGGAACUUGAGUGCAGAAGAGGAGAGUGGAAUUCCACGUGUAGCGGUGAAAUGCGUAGAGAUGUGGAGGAACACCAGUGGCGAAGGCGACUCUCUGGUCUGUAACUGACGCUGAGGCGCGAAAGCGUGGGGAGCGAACAGGAUUAGAUACCCUGGUAGUCCACGCCGUAAACGAUGAGUGCUAAGUGUUAGAGGGUUUCCGCCCUUUAGUGCUGCAGCAAACGCAUUAAGCACUCCGCCUGGGGAGUACGGUCGCAAGACUGAAACUCAAAGGAAUUGACGGGGGCCCGCACAAGCGGUGGAGCAUGUGGUUUAAUUC